GGAGGGCGCAAGCGUUGUUCGGAAUCAUUGGGGCGUAAAGCGCGUGUAGGGCGGGCUUGGUAAGUCGGGUGUGAAAGCCCGGGGCUCAACCCCGGAACUGCAUUCGAAAUUGCCUCGCUAGAGUCCCGGAGAGGAGGGCGGAAUUCCCGGUGUAGAGGUGAAAUUCGUAGAUAUCGGGAGGAACCCCAGCGGCGAAGGCGGCCCUCUGGACGGUGACUGACGCUGAGACGCGAAAGCGUGGGGAGCAAACAGGAUUAGAUACCCUGGUAGUCCACGCCGUAAACGUUGGGUGCUAGGUGUCGCGGGUAUUGACCCCUGCGGUGCCGUCGUUAACGCAUUUAGCACCCCGCCUGGGGAGUACGGUCGCAAGGCUA
RNAcentral lists this ribosomal RNA (374 nucleotides) under uncultured organism. RNAcentral describes it as "partial 16S ribosomal RNA". It matches the Rfam family "Bacterial small subunit ribosomal RNA", at positions 527 to 896 of the family's 1533-position model. The record is from RNAcentral.